Long non-coding RNA from Gallus gallus (chicken), 2238 nucleotides. Lineage: Eukaryota; Metazoa; Chordata; Aves; Galliformes; Phasianidae. The record is from Ensembl.
AUCUUGGGUCUGAGCUCAGGAUUUGCUGGCUCUUGUGCUUCUGUGCAUUUUUUUCAGGCCGUGCUGAGUCAAACUUCAAAGCUCCUUCUGGUUGUGGUGACUUUGAUACGGAUGGAUGCAUAUUUAAUAUACACACAUGUAUUUUAUUUUUGUGCAUGUUGGCUAUGUAUGUGUAUGCAGCUAGGAAAAAAGAAGGUUGUGCCUGCUGCGAGGUGGAGACGAAGAAGUGCGCAUCCAUCCUUUUUUGCCUUCUUGCUGCAAACUCACCAACAAGGCCAUUCAGGACUGAAUUCAUUCCCAGGCCUUGACCUGGGCUGUGGUGGGACUGGAAACUAUCCCACUACUGCUGUGCUCUUCUGCCUAAUAAUGGGUUUUUGUGGCUGCAAGAUGAAGAAACCACUGUUCCCAUGUCCCUGCAGGCCUUGUGGUGACCAAGGAGCGUGGCUAUGGAGGCUGACUUGUCACACACCAUCCUGUAUCUGGCCAGGAAAGCUGUCUGCGGCCUUGUGGAGUGCUUCCAUGCUCUCUGCCUACCCCAGAAUGCUUCUGGAGGCCUUCAAACAAAGCAUCUUCAUACAUCCCUGCUGGAGAGGGCAUCACUUAUGGCACUACAGGGAAGAUCUCUCCCCUGCUAUGCACCUUUUUGUUAUUCUUGUAGCUCAUUGCCCUGAGGAGCACCCAAGCCAGGAAUAGUAGUUCAGUGGGCGACCAAAAAAAGUUUUCUGCAUACAUCUAGACUGAUGCUGGGGCAGGAUGCUGGUGGUCUUUGAUUCACACUGGUUUACCUUCUGUAGAGCAGGACUGGAGCGUUCAGUGCUGCCUUUCCUUGGCAGCUCACUGCAGUGCUGCUUUGCUAUCCGUCUGCCAUCUACGCUCACCUCUGCAAGCGCGGCUGAUGCAGCUAAUCUGUGCUUAUCUGAAUGCAGAGGCAUAGCAGCAAGAGAUUUCAUGCAAAUGUAGCAUCAUGCAGCCCUGUUCCUUCUCGCAAACUAUUGAUUACGUGUCUGAUUUGCUCUCCCCUGAUAAUAGGCCAUAGGCAGAAGCCAAUAGGGCGAGGAGGACGAAAACCUGUCAUGAUCAUUCGAUGCAGCUGGUGAGCCAAUGGGAGGAGAACACCCGUCGAUUGGGUUGGUAGAGAGAAUAAGGCUGGGGGAACUGUCUUAGCAACAGCAGAAAGCAUCUCUUUCCCCCUCCCACUGUGCAACCAUACUGGAAAGUUCCUGAUGAUGUUCCUUAAUGUGUUUGUCUCGCUCAUGCCAAGUUUGUACGUGAUUUGUUUGACUUUGACGUGUCUGCCAGUUUACCCCUUCUCUCCAUGAUCCUUUGGAGAGGAUAGAAGGGCAUCUUUUCUUUGUCUGUCCUAUUGAAACCAACUAGUGAGCUCAAGGUAAAGUGAUCUCAUGCUGGAUUCAUUGCCCGUGCAAGCCCUGAGUAAGUGAGUGAGUUUUGUAUUGUCUUUGUGUGGUUGGUAUCUUCGUCUUGACAUCUUUCCAAGGCAGCUAAAGCAAUGCAGAGCUGACACCUUGCCUAGCAUGGGCUUCAUGGUGUAUUGUUGCACUGCAGGUUAGGCAGCCUGUUGUGGUAGUGGGAGCUGGACACCUUGUAUUCUCAGCUCUUUUAAAGAAUCCUUGUAUGAAGUCAGGUGUAUCCCUGGCCUUCAAAUCCAGAUUCCCUUACCGGGCUGCUGGGUUCUUUGGUCUGGGAAUGAGAAGAUAAGCUUUCUCUGUGGAGCCCUCCCUGUGAUCUGUGGGCUGAGAGAAGUCAGUCCACAGAUCACGCUGCCUUACCUCUUAUCUUUUAUCUGCCUUACAGCAGGAACUGUUCUUUCUGUCUCUCUGCCUCUCUCGUGGUCAAUCCAUCAUUGGUUUAACCAACCGAAAAUGAAAAUGACAGUUAAAUUUGUCUAAACCUUGUGAACAUUUAUUGAAAGCCAAACAUUGGCACUUUCAGCACUCCCUUGAAAAUGACCUUCAUUGUCCUCCUCUCACCUGCUGCCUCCUCUGGCUCAUAAGCAUUCACACUUUUAUCUCACUAUUUGCAUGCUGAUAAUAGACAUAGAUUUUGUUAGUCCUGCAUCUGUCGAGACGGCGGGGACAAUAAUAGAAGCACCGUCGGGACCCAUAUAUAUUGGUCGUAGGAGAGUGUCCAAUGAUGUCUGGGUCAGAGAGCCUUUAACUGCAGUGUCAGGGAAUUUAGUCAGCUGUCAUCGCUUCUUAAUUAAAAAUAGCUGAGACUCAC